GGUCUGAGAGGAUGAUCAGCCACAUUGGGACUGAGAUACGGCCCAGACUCCUACGGGAGGCAGCAGUGGGGAAUAUUGGACAAUGGGGGAAACCCUGAUCCAGCGACACCGCGUGGGGGAUGAAGGCUUUCGGGUUGUAAACCCCUUUUCUGGGGGAAGAAUAAGUUCGAGAGGAAAUGCUCGAGCGAUGACGGUACUCCAGGAAUAAGCAUCGGCAAACUUCGUACCAGCAGCCGCGGUAAGACGAAGGAUGCAAGCGUUAUCCGGAAUUACUGGGCGUAAAGGGCGUCUAGGCGGUUGGGCAAGUCACUUGUGAAAUCCCUCGGCUUAACCGAGGACGGUCUCGUGAUACUGCCUAACUUGGGUGCAGGAGAGGAGAGUGGAACUCAUAGAGUAGCGGUGGAAUGCGCAGAUACUAUGAGGUACCCCGAUGGCGAAGGCAACUCUCUGGCCUGCUACCGACGCUGAAGCGCGAAAGCGUGGGGAGCAAAGGGGAUUAGAUACCCCCGUAGUCCACGCCGCAAACGAUGUUCACUGGGUGUCGGACGCUUAAUGUAGUUCGGUGCCGAAGCUAACGCGAUAAGUGAACCGCCUGGGGAGUACGGCCGCAAGGCUAAAACUCAAGAGAAUUGACGGGUCCCCGCACAAGCGGUGGAGCACGUGGCUUAAUUCGACGAUAAACGAAGAACCUCACCUGGGUUUGACAUGCUAGUGGUAGGAACCUGAAAGGGGGACGACCCUUUUCUUCGGAUUUGGGAGCUAGCACAGGUGAUGCAUGGCUGUCGUCAGCUCGUGUCGUGGGAUGUAGGGUUAAGUCCCGAAACGAGCGCAACCCCCGUCGUCAGUUGCCAGCGGAUAAUGCCGGGGACUCUGGCGAGACAGCCGGUUAAACGCCGGAGGAAGGAGGGGAUGACAUCAAGUCAUCAUGUCCCUUAUGCCCAGGGCGGCACACAUGCUACAAUGGGGGGUACAAAGGGUUGCAAUGUCGUAAGGCGGAGCGAAUCUCAAAAAGCCCUCCUCAGUUCGGAUUGAGGUCUGAAACUCGACCUCAUGAAGCCGGAAUCGCUAGUAAUCGCAGGUCAGCCAUACUGCGGUGAAUAUGUACUCGGGGAUUGUACACACCGCCCGUCACACCAACCGAGUGGGGGGUGCCUGAAGUCGCCUUUUUGAAGGUGCCUAGGGUAACCUUCGCGAGAGGGGUGAAGUCGUAACAAGGUA
RNAcentral lists this ribosomal RNA (1218 nucleotides) under metagenome. RNAcentral's name for it is "bacterial SSU rRNA". It matches the Rfam family "Bacterial small subunit ribosomal RNA", at positions 289 to 1498 of the family's 1533-position model. The record is from RNAcentral.